UACGAAGGGGGCUAGCGUUGCUCGGAAUCACUGGGCGUAAAGCGCACGUAGGCGGACUCUUAAGUCGGUGGUGAAAUCCUGGAGCUCAACUCCAGAACUGCCUUCGAUACUGGGAGUCUCGAGUUCGGGAGAGGUGAGUGGAACUGCGAGUGUAGAGGUGAAAUUCGUAGAUAUUCGCAAGAACACCAGUGGCGAAAGGCGGCU
This 204-nucleotide ribosomal RNA is filed under the name uncultured bacterium. Its description in RNAcentral is "partial 16S ribosomal RNA". It matches the Rfam family "Bacterial small subunit ribosomal RNA", at positions 524 to 726 of the family's 1533-position model. The record is from RNAcentral.